Long non-coding RNA from Polyodon spathula (Mississippi paddlefish), 1577 nucleotides. RefSeq lists it as uncharacterized. Lineage: Eukaryota; Metazoa; Chordata; Actinopteri; Acipenseriformes; Polyodontidae. The transcript is spliced from 3 exons. The record is from RefSeq and is a predicted model, not a curated record.
CUCUAUGCUGUCAUUAAAAAUACAAAACAGUUAUAAUUAUAAGACCAAUGGUAACAGUAUUGUUAAAGCCACCCAUAUUCGAACACCUCAAGAUUUGUCAUUUAUCUCCUUUAUAUGCAUACCUGCAUGAAAACCUGAGUGUGAGAAUUUCAAUUUCAGUUCAUCAGUAAUAUAGAUACAACAGGCACUCAUGGGUGAAAAUGUUAAACCACUUUGUGCUUUACUUAGGCAUCUUAAUCAACUUCUACAAAAUCUCACCUGUGUUACCAUUUGUGGCUAUGUGUUCAUUUUCUUACUAUUUUGAAUGAAUUGCAUGUGUGGCCUAUUAAAGUCUUCAGUUAAAUCAGACACUCCUUAAUUUGCCUAUUUUGACAAUUUUCAGUUACAGGGGUUUGAUUUCAUAAGCACAAAUCAAAAUGACAGAGCAAUGGGAUGUUCUAAUAUGUUUGCACAGCACUGUAUUCUGAGAUAAUACUGAUACAGCUUUCCUCAUAUAUACAGUAUAUGAAUAACAGAACCAUCAAGAAAACCAGGUCUAAACUGUGUUAAAUUACAUGGUCGACAAAAAAUACAGCCGAAACUAACAAAUAUUUAGAAGUCAUCUGUCUUUUCUGAGACAAAGAAUCACUGACAUCUGCCAACUGCAACAUAAUGCUCUUCGUCUUCAUGCCUGUCCUCUUUGAAAUUCUUCUCAUUGAAAUGUUUUACCUAGGUUGCUGGUAUGACACUCAGCUUCCCGGUGUCGUUUCCUCCUUGUAACUUAACUAAAACAUACAUUUUCAACGAAUUCAAGUAAAUAAAUUACACACUGCCCUGCUUAAUCUGAAUUGAACGCAUAUUAGAAUUGCGCUGAGUAACGAGACUAGAACGUCACUCUGCGCCAAGAAAGCAUCACUGUUGAAAACGUGUCUCAGUUUUCAAAGGUUGUACAAUAUAAACGAUACUUGGGCGAGCUGGAAAGUAGAAUUCCAAGAACAAAAUCGAGAUGGACGAAAGUGAGGCUGAUUGAUCACAAAGAAAGAAUACAAAAAAAGUUCUGCCGAAGAACAAGAACAAGCAAAUUAACAGCCGCACUCCCAGCACCAGCAGUUCCAGCGCCCUUGGUGCUCUGCGUUGUCUGUGUUUACCUGUUCUUUUACCUGGUCCGGAGACCUUGUGAUGGUGAAAGCAAUGGACUCGGAGAAACCAAAGGUACAGUUCACAAAUUACUCGAUUUAUUUACCCAGUCCCGGCUAAAUUACAGUAUUCCAAAAUAAGGACUAUCUUAGUUAUUUUACAGAAAAUGAAUUAAAUGUCUGUAUCACUCAAUGCAAAUAUAUUCACGAACUUGAAUUAAAAAAAAAAAAAUAAGAAAAAGAAAACCGAGUAUAAAGACUUAGAAUAGGCAUACUAAUUAAAUUAGUACACCGCGAGACCCCGUUCUUAUCUGCGUAUAACUGUGAGAGGCAGCAAACGAUAGGGCGUGUCCCUUCAAAACAUUAUAUUUUAUACAUUACUAAAUUUACACGGGUUGCACCAGUUAAGUUAGUUUUAACUUAAGGCUUAGUUGUUACUUAAAUGUUACGCAUACCUCCGGG